This 223-nucleotide long non-coding RNA is filed under the name Panax ginseng (ginseng). RNAcentral describes it as "long non-coding RNA (PGIN_LNC019068)". The record is from RNAcentral. Lineage: Eukaryota; Viridiplantae; Streptophyta; Magnoliopsida; Apiales; Araliaceae.
UUGAGAUCUGACUCUUAUCUAGCAAAAGCCUGGUUUACUUGAUUUUAUUUAAUAAUUUUUAGUCUUUUUAUGAUUUUAUUUCAUUUAAGAGAUUUGGAUUAAAAUAUUUCUCUAGUCCUUCCUCAUUUUGGAAAAGCUGAGAACUCAGGUAGUUGAGAAGUUGGUACAAAUUAUUGUAUUAACUUUUUUGGGGAGAUUCUUGUUCAUGUGCUAAAUAGCUGAG